Non-coding RNA from Chiloscyllium plagiosum (whitespotted bambooshark), 568 nucleotides. The record is from RefSeq and is a predicted model, not a curated record. NCBI's taxonomy places the organism in Eukaryota, Metazoa, Chordata, Chondrichthyes, Orectolobiformes, Hemiscylliidae.
UUUAUAAAAUCCAGGGAGCUUUAUAAUUUGUUAACCACUCUUCCAGUUUGUUUGCCACUUUCAAUGAAUCAUGCAUAUAUAACCCUUGAUCCCUUGGCUCUUGCGCACCCUUUUGGUUGUGGUAUCUCUAACAGCUGACAUGCAAUAAAAAAAUAAAUACAUACGCUAUAUAUAGCCCUGUAACCUGGAGAGGUCUGCAGUAUCUGCAGAGUCAUGCGCACACUGCAUCUGCUGUGCUCCAGACAUAAUGAAACGUAGCCAGCUCCCUUUGAGCAGAGGAUGUCGAUGGUCUCCCUGAAGCAACAGUGACACACAAACUGUGAAAUGGAGCAAUUAUCUCCAGCAUCAGCCUGAAAGGGACCCACUAAUCCCAGCUGUGCCACCUACACCUCAAGGAUUGCAGCUAUUAAGUCAGACAAUUUAUCACCAUGUUCUUGAGAAUAAUCAGGCUUCUCGUCAUUCCCAACCAAGAAUCUCAUCUCAGCAUCCAGGACUUUUUUAGAAAUACAACUAAUUGCCCACAACAUUGGGAAAGGCUUCACUGGACCUCACGCAAUUCUCCUGGAUU